UGGGGAAUAUUGGACAAUGGGCGAAAGCCUGAUCCAGCCAUGCCGCGUGUGUGAAGAAGGUCUUCGGAUUGUAAAGCACUUUAAGUUGGGAGGAAGGGCAUUAACCUAAUACGUUAGUGUUUUGACGUUACCGACAGAAUAAGCACCGGCUAACUCUGUGCCAGCAGCCGCGGUAAUACAGAGGGUGCAAGCGUUAAUCGGAAUUACUGGGCGUAAAGCGCGCGUAGGUGGUUUGUUAAGUUGGAUGUGAAAUCCCCGGGCUCAACCUGGGAACUGCAUUCAAAACUGACUGACUAGAGUAUGGUAGAGAGUGGUGGAAUUUCCUGUGUAGCGGUGAAAUGCGUAGAUAUAG
Molecule: ribosomal RNA, 352 nt
Filed under: uncultured bacterium
Lineage: Bacteria
Description: partial 16S ribosomal RNA
Rfam family: Bacterial small subunit ribosomal RNA
Source: RNAcentral